UGCGAUCAUACCAGCACUAAUGCACCGGAUCCUAUCAGAACUCCGAAGUUAAGCGUGUUUGGGCGAGAGUAGUACUAGGAUGGGUGAUCCCCUGGGAAGUCCUCGUGUUGCAC
Molecule: ribosomal RNA, 113 nt
Filed under: Rhododendron griersonianum
Lineage: Eukaryota; Viridiplantae; Streptophyta; Magnoliopsida; Ericales; Ericaceae
Source: RNAcentral